Long non-coding RNA from Dromaius novaehollandiae (emu), 3333 nucleotides. RefSeq lists it as uncharacterized. The transcript has 4 exons. Lineage: Eukaryota; Metazoa; Chordata; Aves; Casuariiformes; Dromaiidae. The record is from RefSeq and is a predicted model, not a curated record.
UUGCGUGCCGCCCAAAAGGAACAAGUGGCCAAGACAUAGGGGUGUCCUUGCAGGCAGAGCUGCUUUCAAAAGGGUCUCCAUCGCUGAUGCUUUCCUUCCCAUACGGCUCCCAUGUGUGUGGGGAGAUGUUUAGCUUGCAUGAGUGCGAGGGAGGGGUAAGAGAGGUACAGCCAGAGGAGGCUCUGAGGAAAGACUGUGGAAACGUGGAGAGCAGGGAAAUGAAGAGGACACGUCACUCAUCGCCAGCUGAAAUCCAGAGGGGGUGGUGAGGAGAAGAGGAGCAGGGAGGACGAGGUUUGGAAGCCUUAUCACAGAAGGGCUAUCCUCAAGAGUGCAGAGUAGGGGAAAGGCAAGACCCUACUUUCCCCCAUCAUGAUGACUCUUCCUCUUUUCCUCUUCUUUGUCCUCUUACCCUGCAGUAAAUGCCAAAAGGACUUUGUGGAUCAGCACCAGAAAUGGAACUACAGGGAAGGCGCUGACAAGGUCAACAUCGAGGGUGUGAACAGCAUUACUCGAACACUUGAGAAAUGGGGAAACAGCAUCUUCUGGCAAAUGAAACACACCUUGCUGAACAACCCAAACGCUUUACUGCCUGAGUUCUCCAGUCUCUAUCCUGUCUCUGCGGCUGUGGACAAUCUCCUAAGGGAAGUACAGUCAAUAAGGAAAAGGCUAGAAGAACUGAACGAACGGCUCAAUAUCAUCAGCAAGAUCAUCCUUCCCACCCGACUUAACGCCCUGCAGAGCCAGAGGCGUGGAAACACUCAGCUGCGUAGACUUCCGCUGCAUAGGAGAAGGCUGUAUUUUCGCAGGAGACCUCAGAGGAGUUAACUCUCUGCCAGAAAAAAAAGGGAAAUCUUCACUUUUUUUACCUGCUUAAGCCUUUUCUCGAUGGGUCACCAUUAGACAGAAUAAAGUGUAUAUGACAGCCAACCCUACUGAGGAGACCAGAACUUCUGCAUUUUGUUGCUGUCUUUCAAGUCCAGGUCAGUGGUCAAAUCCAGUUGUGUUCUGCAAAGACAGUUUUGUGUCCCAUGCAAAAUGACUUGACAAGCUCAGUAUAGCUCAGUGUGAGUACUGUUAUCCUGUACCAUCAUUCUUUCUGCUUAUGAGACAAAGCUCUUUCUAUAAAGAUCGGAUUAAUUUCUGUCUUAUUUUCAUAGCACUCCACCUGAAACAGCUGGGGAAUUUGAUUUUCAAAAGAAACUCCUGAUGAACUCCUGGUGAAGGCAGAAAGAUAGAUUAAUGCUUGGCACUUCCAGCUGGGUGGGGAGGGGGAAAGGAAGGUCCGUUUUAAAAUAUGGCCUUAACCUAUUCACCACUAGUACACAGAAUGCCCUGUUCACAUGUUCAGAGGGUAGACAGGGUUGAUCAACCUUCGUCUCUGCAUAAUGCUUCAAGAGUGAAGAUGUGUCAGAGUCCAGGAAUCAGAUUUGAACACCUACCUUCUGCAGAGAGCCUUUUGCUAGUUACCUUGAGUUGGGCACUCAAAACCCUGUUAUCCAACAGAUAUGUCCAGACCUUUCCAGCAUGCUGAAAAACAUCACACUGACUUCUGUCAAGACCCCUGGAAACGAGGGUAUGUUUUUUUCAAAGUUAUUUAGGUACCUAAUGGCAUAGGUAGGUAUCCAGAAGGAUUUUCCAAAAUAGCUUAGGAGACAGUUUAGUCCCAGAAUCACAGGUAACCACUCAAUCGGUGUCUAACUCACAGAGUAUCUUCUGCACAUGCAAACAUGGACUUCCAGACAUGUACUAGCAUCCUUUAGCAUGUUUAUAAUCUGUAGAAAAAGAACACGCAGGCACCCCAGGGAUGUUUAUGUCUCAGGGAGUAUCCAGAACACCUUGCCUUCAGCUUCUCUUUGCUUGUGGAUUUCUGGUGAUAAAAAAAUUAGUGAUAAAACUGGUAAUAAAAAACAGCACAGAAAACAAGCUGUGCACUUAAUGCAGGAUUGUGUGGGCUUGCUUUUCAGGUCCCUACAGCUGAAUCCAACACAGAGAUUCUCAUCCAGUGUUGCAGCCAACUGCAUACCUGGAAUCUACUAAAAUACAGGUGGGAGAGUCAGAGAAAAGAAUAAAUGUAACUAUUUGUUAAAGGUCUGGAUAGAGAAAUUUAUGAGAAUUUAUGAGAACAAAAAUAAAGAAUGGAUUAUGUCUAAAUGGUUGCAGGGGAGUCUGGCCUGACAGUUGUUUUGCAAACACUCUCCAGGCAUAAAUAGUGAUGAUGCAGACUAGCUAUUCAAGGGUUCCCAAGGCCUGAGCAUAUGGAGAAAAGCUCAGUGACACUACAAUAACCUCAAGAGGAAAGAGGGACUACUGGCUUCGUAUGAAACCCCUGAAAAUGAACCAGAAGUAACGCAGUGAACAUUUUGGCUGGGACCUGGGAGUUGGGUGGUGGAGGUAUGAGGAGUAUGAUACAAACUGAUAAAUAUUUCCUGGGUGUAAAUUCUCUGAGUUCAGGUUUUCAGAAAAUAACAAAACUCUAACUUGGCAGGUCUCGCCUUGGCUUUUGCCCGGGAAUUUGAAACUCCCCCUAACUGGAUCAGGGAAAAAUCAAGCCUGUGAAAAGGCUGAUAAAAAGAUACAGUUAUGCCUUUGGCAAAUCUGCCACCAUAAUUUCUCAGGAAACUUCGAGUAUUUUGAUUCUAGAAUAUAUUUACCAAAAUGACAAGAAAUAACAGGAGAGAAAGUCCCCAUCAGCCUCUUCCUUGUUAUUCUGCAUUCAGAGCUACUAGGCUCUGCUGCAGCAUCAGCUGUCUGCCUGCACAGGCUGCCGGUCCCUCUGGGGGUGCUUUUUGCACUUUGCUUGGGGUUGUAGGGGCUGCUGGUAACUUUGGCUUAUCUUGAUGAAGAACAGAACAUAAAUGUCAGCUUUCAUUACUUGUUCAUGUUUUAGACAUGAGAUCUUUUUAUUAGGCAACUUAAAGUUGUAUAAAAUCCGUCAAGCGCUACUGAACACAAAGCUAAGACUUCUGGCUCAGGGAAGACCCUCAGUCAGAGACCUCUGGAAGUGGUAGGCCAGAGCAGAUCCCUGUGUGCUUUAACUGCUUACUUAGAUUUCCACUAGCAGCCUCUGCCACAGAUGGAGGAUUGGGCAAGAUGGACCUGUGGUCUGGCCCAUCCAGCUAUUUGUACACUGGUAUGUACAAAUUGCUAUUUUUGGCAAAUGUCCUUAGCUCAACAGAGAAACUCAGUUUGUUUUAAAAGAGAACAAAUAAGCUGCAACACACAAUGUAUAUUAUGGUUUUGCAAUUUCUUACAUAAUGACAAAUAAACCGAACUAUAUAGAUGGUGAAUAAAUGACUAACUCGGUGGCCUUGUCACACUGAUAGCAGCCCC